Molecule: ribosomal RNA, 440 nt
Filed under: uncultured Exiguobacterium sp.
Lineage: Bacteria; Bacillati; Bacillota; Bacilli; Caryophanales
Description: bacterial SSU rRNA
Rfam family: Bacterial small subunit ribosomal RNA
Source: RNAcentral
GGAAUCUUCCACAAUGGACGAAAGUCUGAUGGAGCAACGCCGCGUGAGUGAUGAAGGUUUUCGGAUCGUAAAACUCUGUUGUAAGGGAAGAACAAGUACGAGAGGGAAUGCUCGUACCUUGACGGUACCUUGCGAGAAAGCCACGGCUAACUACGUGCCAGCAGCCGCGGUAAUACGUAGGUGGCAAGCGUUGUCCGGAAUUAUUGGGCGUAAAGCGCGCGCAGGCGGCCUUUUAAGUCUGAUGUGAAAGCCCCCGGCUCAACCGGGGAGGGUCAUUGGAAACUGGAAGGCUUGAGUACAGAAGAGAAGAGUGGAAUUCCAUGUGUAGCGGUGAAAUGCGUAGAGAUGUGGAGGAACACCAGUGGCGAAGGCGACUCUUUGGUCUGUAACUGACGCUGAGGCGCGAAAGCGUGGGGAGCAAACAGGAUUAGAUACCCGGG